This 253-nucleotide ribosomal RNA is filed under the name uncultured bacterium. RNAcentral describes it as "partial 16S ribosomal RNA". It matches the Rfam family "Bacterial small subunit ribosomal RNA", at positions 524 to 776 of the family's 1533-position model. The record is from RNAcentral.
UACGUAGGAGGCGAGCGUUGUCCGGAGUUACUGGGCGUAAAGCGCAUGCAGGCGGUCAACUCAGUCUGUGCUGACAGUUCCCGGCUUAACUGGGAAAGUGGUACGGAUACUGGUUGACUUGAGGGCUUCAGAGGGAUGUGGAACUCCUGGUGUAGCGGUGAAAUGCGCAGAUAUCAGGAGGAACACCGGUGGCGAAGGCGGCCCGCUGGGCAGUGGCUGACGCUGAGGCGCGACAGCGUGGGGAGCAAACAGG